CCCAGACUCCUACGGGAGGCAGCAGUGGGGGAUAUUGCACAAUGGGGGGAACCCUGAUGCAGCGACGCCGCGUGGGCGAUGGAGCGCCUCGGCGCGUAAAGCCCUAUCAGCAGGGAAGAAGAUGACGGUACCUGACUAAGAAGCCCCGGCUAAAUACGUGCCAGCAGCCGCGGUAAUACGUAGGGGGCAAGCGUUAUCCGGAUUUACUGGGUGUAAAGGGGGCGCAGACGGCGAUGCAAGCCAGGAGUGAAAGCCCGGGGCCCAACCCCGGGACUGCUCUUGGAACUGCGUGGCUAGAGUGCAGGAGGGGCAGGCGGAAUUCCUGGUGUAGCGGUGAAAUGCGUAGAUAUCAGGAGGAACACCGGUGGCGAAGGCGGCCUGCUGGACGGCAACUGACGUUGAGGCCCGAAAGCGUGGGGAGCAAACAGGAUUAGAUACCCCCGUACUU
Molecule: ribosomal RNA, 448 nt
Filed under: uncultured bacterium
Lineage: Bacteria
Description: partial 16S ribosomal RNA
Rfam family: Bacterial small subunit ribosomal RNA
Source: RNAcentral